UUUGAUUUAAAACGGCUGCAGCUAAAACUACACGAAGGUAGCGCGAUAAAUUGUCUUUUAAUUGGAGGAUAGUACAAAAGGUUGGAUGAUUGGAAAAACUUUAUUAGAAACACGGUAUGAAGUUUACUUGUAAGUGAAAAGGCUUACGUUUUUUUGUUAGACGAGAAGACCCUGUUGAGCUUGGUAUACUCUAACCUUUUAGGUAAGGGCUAGAUUUUGUCGGGGCCGAUGGGAAGAGAAAAAAUGUCUUCUUUAUUAUAUUAGGAUCCAACAUGGUUGAAAAGAAGAAGAAGUUACCACAGGGAUAACAGCGCAAUUUUUUUGUAAAGUUCAUAUUUAAAAAGAAGUUUGCGACCUCGAUGUUGAAUCAGGGUAUCUCCUAGGUGCAGAAGCUUAGAGAAGUGG
The sequence is a ribosomal RNA, 405 nucleotides long. It matches the Rfam family "Bacterial large subunit ribosomal RNA", at positions 1907 to 2574 of the family's 2925-position model.